UCCGGUUGAUCCUGCCGGACCCCACUGCUAUCGGGAUAGGACUAAGACAUGCUAGUCGAGCGCCUCCCUGCCACGACGGAGGCGCGGCGCACAGCUCAGUAACACGUGGCUAACCUGCCCUUGGGACAGAGACACCCCCGGGAAACUGGGGCUAAUCCCUGAUAGGUGAAGAACUCUGGAAUGAGUCUUCACCCAAAAGACGCCUAGGUCACGCUUCUAGGCGCCGCCCAAGGAUGGGGCCGCGACCGAUCAGGUUGUUGGUGAGGUAACGGCCUACCAAGCCUUUUACCGGUACGGGCCGUGAGAGCGGGAGCCCGGAGAUGGGCACUGAGACAAGGGCCCAGGUCCUACUGGGCGCAGCAGUCGCGCAAACUUUGCAAUACACGAAAGUGUGACAGGGCUAUCCCGAGUGCCGCCCGCUGAGGGUGGCUUUUACCCAGUCUAGAAAGCUGGGAGAAUAAGGAGAGGGCAAGUCUGGUGUCAGCCGCCGCGGUAAUACCAGCUCUCCGAGUGGUGUGGAUGUUUAUUGGGCCUAAAGCAUCCGUAGCUUGCUGAUCAAGUCCCCUGUUAAACCCAACGAAUCAAUCGUUGGAUUGCGGGGG
Molecule: ribosomal RNA, 602 nt
Filed under: uncultured Thermoprotei archaeon
Lineage: Archaea; Thermoproteati; Thermoproteota; Thermoprotei
Description: bacterial SSU rRNA
Rfam family: Archaeal small subunit ribosomal RNA
Source: RNAcentral